RNAcentral lists this ribosomal RNA (746 nucleotides) under uncultured Parvimonas sp. RNAcentral describes it as "bacterial SSU rRNA". It matches the Rfam family "Bacterial small subunit ribosomal RNA", at positions 28 to 776 of the family's 1533-position model. The record is from RNAcentral. Lineage: Bacteria; Bacillati; Bacillota; Tissierellia; Tissierellales; Peptoniphilaceae.
GACGAACGCUGGCGGCGUGCUUAACACAUGCAAGUCGAACGUGAUUUUUGUGGAAAUUCUUUUGGGAAUGGAAAUGAAAUGAAAGUGGCGAACGGGUGAGUAACACGUGAGCAACCUACCUUACACAGGGGGAUAGCCGUUGGAAACGACGAUUAAUACCGCAUGAGACCACAGAAUCGCAUGAUAUAGGGGUCAAAGAUUUAUCGGUGUAAGAAGGGCUCGCGUCUGAUUAGCUAGUUGGAAGGGUAAAGGCCUACCAAGGCGACGAUCAGUAGCCGGUCUGAGAGGAUGAACGGCCACAUUGGAACUGAGACACGGUCCAAACUCCUACGGGAGGCAGCAGUGGGGAAUAUUGCACAAUGGGGGGAACCCUGAUGCAGCGACGCCGCGUGAGCGAAGAAGGUUUUCGAAUCGUAAAGCUCUGUCCUAUGAGAAGAUAAUGACGGUAUCAUAGGAGGAAGCCCCGGCUAAAUACGUGCCAGCAGCCGCGGUAAUACGUAUGGGGCGAGCGUUGUCCGGAAUUAUUGGGCGUAAAGGGUACGUAGGCGGUUUUUUAAGUCAGGUGCGAAAGCGUGAGGCUUAACCUCAUUAAGCACUUGAAACUGGAAGACUUGAGUGAAGGAGAGGAAAGUGGAAUUCCUAGUGUAGCGGUGAAAUGCGUAGAUAUUAGGAGGAAUACCGGUGGCGAAGGCGACUUUCUGGACUUUUACUGACGCUCAGGUACGAAAGCGUGGGGAGCAAACAGG